CUGGUGUUGCUGCUGCUGGUGUUUUUGCUGGUGCUGGUGCCGAAGUCGGUGGUGCAGGUGUAGUUGACGGUGUUGAUGCUGGCGGAGGUGUGGAUGAGGGUGGAGGUGUGGAUGCUGAUGGAGGUGUUGAUGGUGGCGAUGAUGCUGGUGGAGGGGUGGCUUUAGGAGCUGGAGCUGGAGCUGCACCACCUCCUGAAACGGAGACGGUCAAUUUUUGUCCCAAGGAACAGUGCUGGGCGAAGGUGCAAAUGAAAUAUGCCUGCCCUGGGGAGGUUAGAUUGAUUCUUGCCGGACCAACAGUUUGUAGUGAGAUGGGAUUGCUUGAGGUGCAUCCGUCAUAAC
This 342-nucleotide long non-coding RNA is filed under the name Coffea arabica (coffee). RNAcentral describes it as "long non-coding RNA (CARA_LNC004480)". Lineage: Eukaryota; Viridiplantae; Streptophyta; Magnoliopsida; Gentianales; Rubiaceae. The record is from RNAcentral.